This 272-nucleotide long non-coding RNA is filed under the name Dendronephthya gigantea. RNAcentral's name for it is "uncharacterized LOC114533862, transcript variant X2". Lineage: Eukaryota; Metazoa; Cnidaria; Anthozoa; Malacalcyonacea; Nephtheidae. The record is from RNAcentral.
CUUCAUGUGGUUUAUCACUGAAGCUAAAGAAUUGAGAUACAACAAUCUUUGACUGACUUUAGGUGUGGCGAUCGAAGGUGGACAGCAAGAUCGAAGCUCAGCAAGAUUGAAGAUUGUUCGAGGAAGAAGGAGUUCGCCGUUGACUAAAAGGUUUAUCUGAACAGCUAGUUGUCAAGAUGAAGGUGACUCGCCCGGCCAAAUUCAAAAUGGCGAUGCCAAAGAAAACCAUCCACGUGGACCGUUCGCGGACCUUUCUGAGCAAGAUUGUUGUG